RNAcentral lists this unclassified non-coding RNA (305 nucleotides) under uncultured Glomus. Its description in RNAcentral is "SSU rRNA". It matches the Rfam family "Eukaryotic small subunit ribosomal RNA", at positions 569 to 874 of the family's 1831-position model. Lineage: Eukaryota; Fungi; Glomeromycota; Glomeromycetes; Glomerales; Glomeraceae. The record is from RNAcentral.
AGCAGCCGCGGUAAUUCCAGCUCCAAUAGCGUAUAUUAAAGUUGUUGCAGAUUAAAAAGCUCGUAGUUGAACUUCGGGGUCUACCCAUUGGUCAGGCUUAAUUGUCUGCACUGGUGAGAUGGAUCUCUACCUUCUGAGGAACUUUCAUGCCAUUUAUUUGGUGUGGUUGGAAAUCAGGACUGUUACUUUGAAAAAAUUAGGUGUUUAAAAGCAGACUAUCAGUCUGAAUACAUUAGCAUGGAAUAAUGAAAUAGGACGGACUGAUUCUAUUUCGUUGGUUUCUAGGAUCACCGUAAUGAUUAAUA